Long non-coding RNA from Ficedula albicollis (Collared flycatcher), 336 nucleotides. RefSeq lists it as uncharacterized. Lineage: Eukaryota; Metazoa; Chordata; Aves; Passeriformes; Muscicapidae. The transcript is spliced from 3 exons. The record is from RefSeq and is a predicted model, not a curated record.
UAAAUGAAACGCAGCCAAAUAGAAGGACACCUGUGCUAACAUGGAUGCAAAUUGUGGGCUGCAAGCAAAUGCCUCCCCACAGGAGUAACUCUUCUGCACUGUUUCACUCUAGCCUCUCCCUCCUUCCCACCAGCAGUACAGGGAAAAGGCAUGAGGGUUUUGAUCACUCUUUCCAUGGGGUGCAGUGCUCCAAGGACGGGGACUCUCCUUGCUGCCCCCUCCACCCUGGAAAGGAAAGAAGGCGAGCAGGAAAGCCCCAAAAGGACACGUCUCCAGGUUCGCAAAGCUGCGAUUAAAGUGCUGCGUGGAGAAGGCAAAAAAAAUAGUUUUAGGAAA